GAUGAACGCUGGCGGCGUGCCUAAUACAUGCAAGUCGAGCGAACAGACGAGGAGCUUGCUCCUCUGACGUUAGCGGCGCACGGGUGAGUCACACGUGGAUAACCUACCUAUAAGACUGGGAUCACUUCGGGAAACCGGAGCUAAUACCGGAUAAUAUAUUGAACCGCAUUGUUCAAUAGUGAAAGACGGUUUUGCUGUCACUUAUAGAUGGAUCCGCGCCGCAUUAGCUAGUUGGGAAGGUAACGGCUUACCAAGGCAACGAUGCGUAGCCGACCUGAGAGGGUGAUCGGCGACACUGGAACUGGGCCACGGUCCAGACUCCUACGGGAGGCAGCAGUAGGGAAUCUUCGGCAAUGGGCGAAAGCCUGACGGAACAACGCCGCGCGAGUGAUGAAGGUCUUCGGAUCGUAAAACUCUGUUAUUAGGGGAGAACAAAUGUGUAAGUAACUAUGCACGUCGUGACGGUACCUAAUCAGAAAGCAACGGCUAACUACGUG
RNAcentral lists this ribosomal RNA (497 nucleotides) under uncultured bacterium. RNAcentral's name for it is "partial 16S ribosomal RNA". It matches the Rfam family "Bacterial small subunit ribosomal RNA", at positions 28 to 507 of the family's 1533-position model. The record is from RNAcentral.